CUCCAUGUCGUGUUCGAUUGGUGCUAGAGCCCCGGGUUACAGGAUAUGGACCCGGGGCUCUAGCACCAAUCGAACACGACAUAGAG
Molecule: microRNA precursor, 86 nt
Filed under: Anopheles melas
Lineage: Eukaryota; Metazoa; Arthropoda; Insecta; Diptera; Culicidae
Description: microRNA mir-315
Source: RNAcentral